AGUGAACGCUGGCGGUAGGCCUAACACAUGCAAGUCGAACGGCAGCACAGUAAGAGCUUGCUCUUACGGGUGGCGAGUGGCGGACGGGUGAGGAAUACAUCGGAAUCUACUUUUUCGUGGGGGAUAACGUAGGGAAACUUACGCUAAUACCGCAUACGCCCUACGGGUGAAAGCAGGGGAUCUUCGGACCUUGCGCGAUUGAAUGAGCCGAUGUGGGAUUAGCUAGUUGGCGGGGUAAAGGCCCACCAAGGCGACGAUCCGUAGCUGGUCUGAGAGGAUGAUCAGCCACACUGGAACUGAGACACGGUCCAGACUCCUACGGGAGGCAGCAGUGGGGAAUAUUGGACAAUGGGCGCAAGCCUGAUCCAGCCAUACCGCGUGGGUGAAGAAGGCCUUCGGGUUGUAAAGCCCUUUUGUUGGGAAAGAAAAGCAGCAGGUUAAUACCCCGCUGUUCUGACGGUACCCAAAGAAUAAGCACCGGCUAACUUCGUG
RNAcentral lists this ribosomal RNA (492 nucleotides) under uncultured bacterium. RNAcentral describes it as "partial 16S ribosomal RNA". It matches the Rfam family "Bacterial small subunit ribosomal RNA", at positions 29 to 507 of the family's 1533-position model. The record is from RNAcentral.